RNAcentral lists this ribosomal RNA (492 nucleotides) under uncultured bacterium. Its description in RNAcentral is "partial 16S ribosomal RNA". It matches the Rfam family "Bacterial small subunit ribosomal RNA", at positions 29 to 507 of the family's 1533-position model. The record is from RNAcentral.
AGUGAACGCUGGCGGUAGGCCUAACACAUGCAAGUCGAACGGCAGCACAGUAAGAGCUUGCUCUUACGGGUUGCGAGUGGCGGACGUGUGAGGAAUACAUCGGAAUCUACUUUUUCGUGGGGGAUAACGUAGGGAAACUUACGCUAAUACCGCAUACGACCUACGGGUGAAAGCAGGGGAUCUUCGGACCUUGCGCGAUUGAAUGAGCCGAUGUCGGAUUAGCUAGUUGGCGGGGUAAAGGCCCACCAAGGCGACGAUCCGUAGCUGGUCUGAGAGGAUGAUCAGCCACACUGGAACUGAGACACGGUCCAGACUCCUACGGGAGGCAGCAGUGGGGAAUAUUGGACAAUGGGCGCAAGCCUGAUACAGCCAUACCGAGUGGGUGAAGAAGGCCUUCGGGUUGUAAAGCCCUUUUGUUGGGAAAGAAAAGCAGCAGGUUAAUACCACGCUGUUCUGACGGUACCCAAAGAAUAAGCACCGGCUAACUUCGUG